Protopterus annectens (West African lungfish) is the source of this 322-nucleotide long non-coding RNA. RefSeq lists it as uncharacterized. The transcript is spliced from 4 exons. The record is from RefSeq and is a predicted model, not a curated record. Lineage: Eukaryota; Metazoa; Chordata; Ceratodontiformes; Protopteridae.
AAGAUAGUAUCUCCAAAAUGGAAAUCCUUCAAAGGCAUACGAUUUCUCUGGCGAGACAAAAUUCGACUGAAUAACGCCAUCUGGAGAGCCUGGUAUAUUCAGUAUGUUGAAAGAAGGAGGACUCCUGUAUGCAGCUUUGUUACACCUUUGGAGGGCUCAGAAGCAGAUGAGCAUCGUAAGCCAGAGGCCAUUGUACUUGAAGGAAAAUACUGGAAGAGGAGGAUUGAGGUUGUAAUACAAGAGUACCACAAGUGGCGUAUAUACCAUAAGAGAAGAUUGCACAAAUUUAACCAAGAUGGAGACCUCUUGGGCCUUACAAAGG